AGGAUCGAGCAAGGCGACACUGCUCAGCUAGGGAUUUUCUUCCAUGGCCGCCAAAUCAAAGGUCUAAGUCCCAGGUGCAAUCUCACACAAAGGAAGAGACAAGAUAAUUUGAUGACAAUGACUCAUGAAUGGAAAUAAAACACCAGCGGGAAUGAUUUGCUCUUUUUUCCUAGCUUAAGUUAUUGAUUGAGAUGGAGAUUCAUGCUGUUAUUCUAAUUUUACACCCUUGUGUUCUUGGCAAAUAUUACAUUAUUUGGUUCAUAUGAAUGAGCACUUUUGAUGUUGUCUGCUUUCCUGAAUGAACCCUUGAUUUAGAACUACAUGACAGAGUCUUGUUGCCAUAUGUGGUGUCCUUUCAUGUUCAUAUAAAUCUGCAACAUGGGUGUUACUCAUGUUUCCUCAACCAACUUAUAGUCACUUUCGACUAGCAAGUGUAUCUUAACUGGCAUUCUGAUCUGUCUUUUUUGUUAGCUGCAACUUCAUCAAAAGCGUAGUGAUGAUAUUUUCUUACAGUUACUUCAAUUACAACACUUGGUUUAUCUUUAAGGGUAAUCAGCUUUGUUUGCACUGAAAAUAAUGCGUGUGUUGAUCCCAUUAACUCAAGUGUGUUAUUACAGGUUGCAGGAACAUGAAUUGGCGGCAUCUCAGCUGGCUGUUGUUUAUGCUGAAAAUAAUACUGAUGCUCAAUCUAUAUCUUGACUUCUCAUUUCUGAAUAUUAGAAAUGCUAAGCAGUCCAUGGAAGCUUGCCUAUGCCGCUUCCGUGCGACAUUAUUUCUCUGGACCAUUUUGCCUCCGCAGCUCUAGACAUGAACUUCCUGAUACGGUAAUGAAAUCCAGGUGGAAAGCCCUCCUAUAUAUAUUAAAUUUGCUUGCUUUGGCAUCUUACUUCCUCUAAAUUUUAAAUAGGAUAUUCUUGAGACGUAGUUUUAGGAAAUAGUUUGGUUUCAGUCAACAUGCAACAUAUGUGGUGAAUUAUAUAAGCUAAGCUGGGCUAUUGAAGUAAUUGUUCUUUUGCUAUUCCUUUGCAUUUUCUUAAUAUGAUGUUGGUAUAGCCAUGAUGGCUCCCGUGUAGUUCUUUGGUUUUCUUGGAAAAAAAUUCCUUUGGCUAACAAAUAGUAGACUCUGUGUGGGAUUCGUUCAUCAGUUUCACAGACAUUAGUUGCUAGCUUCUUAGCAGUAGUUUAGCUUUGUUUGCGGUUAUAUAUGGUUGUGAGCUGCAGACACCAUCAUGUCCUGCAAAUUGUUUCUAUACAAUGCUAAUUCCUUUAUCGCUCAGUCUUGGGGGUACUCAGGUUGGAUGUCAGACCUACAUUUAGUCAGUCAUCUGUUGGCAGUUUAGUUGUGUGAAGCACCUAUAUUGUUUGUCAGCAUCUCCUUUACAUACAGAAGAGACCUUAUCAAAAGCAAAUUAUGAGGAACUAAAAGAAAAGGCCAGAUUUAUAAAUGUGGUGCUUCUCUCUUCCUGUUGGUGUGAGGCGGACAGAUGCCACCAACUUCCAGAUAAGCUCGGCUGCUCUCCCUUCAAACUCAUGCCGAUGGCAGCGCGUUCUCCCUUCCCUUCGGGCAAGAGGGAGUUGUUCUCCGCUGCUUCGGUGACCGGCAGAGGAAGGGUACGCCGUGAGGCGGCCCCGUCGAAUAAGGACAAAGCACUCCGCUGCCGCUGCUCAGCCGGGUCAGGGCCUGCUGGUUUUUUUCGAGGCAAGAAACAGAGCAUGCCAUGUGUGGUUUUUCAUAUCAGCUACUCUUGCAGCAAUAGAUGCUUUCUUUACACGACGGGUUAAUAUGUUGAGCAAGGCACCGUGCACCAAGGCGCAUUUCCUAUGGCAGCAUCUAUUGAUUGUUGUUGCGAAUCUUGAAGGAUACGCUUCAGUCUUCAGUCUUAUGCCUCUUAUAAUCCCGUUGCCAUAUGCAUUUCGCCUUUAAUUGGACUAUGUAACACUAUCAUUUGUGCUCUCUUUUGGUAGACGCGGUAUGUAAUAACGAACUCUGUCUAAAUGCAUAGGACUUGGUACCGAGUUAUCUAAAUUGUUGCCCAGUACUAAAUAUAUAUAGCUUGCUUUUGGACUGAAGCAUUCUGUUUUUUACUGGGCCAAUUGCUAUGUAUUGAAUGUGUAUAUAUCGACGCAAUGCUUCUGAUCUAAACUUGAUAUAUUAGAUGAUAAAC
This is a non-coding RNA of Aegilops tauschii subsp. strangulata, 2165 nucleotides long. The record is from RefSeq and is a predicted model, not a curated record. Lineage: Eukaryota; Viridiplantae; Streptophyta; Magnoliopsida; Poales; Poaceae.